UUUAUCGGAGAGUUUGAUCCUGGCUCAGGACGAACGCUGGCGGCGUGCCUAAUACAUGCAAGUCGAGCGGACAGAUGGGAGCUUGCUCCCUGAUGUUAGCGGCGGACGGGUGAGUAACACGUGGGUAACC
RNAcentral lists this ribosomal RNA (130 nucleotides) under Bacillus subtilis. RNAcentral describes it as "partial 16S ribosomal RNA". It matches the Rfam family "Bacterial small subunit ribosomal RNA", at positions 1 to 126 of the family's 1533-position model. Lineage: Bacteria; Bacillati; Bacillota; Bacilli; Caryophanales; Bacillaceae. The record is from RNAcentral.